This 486-nucleotide ribosomal RNA is filed under the name uncultured bacterium. Its description in RNAcentral is "partial 16S ribosomal RNA". It matches the Rfam family "Bacterial small subunit ribosomal RNA", at positions 30 to 507 of the family's 1533-position model. The record is from RNAcentral.
AUUGAACGCUGGCGGCAUGCCUUACACAUGCAAGUCGAACGGCAGCACGGGUGCUUGCCCCUGGUGGCGAGUGGCGAACGGGUGAGUAAUACAUCGGAACAUGUCCUGUAGUGGGGGAUAGCCCGGCGAAAGCCGGAUUAAUACCGCAUACGAUCUACGGAUGAAAGCGGGGGACCUUCGGGUCUCGCGCUAUAGGGUUGGCCGAUGGCUGAUUAGCUAGUUGGUGGGGUAAAGGCCUACCAAGGCGACGAUCAGUAGCUGGUCUGAGAGGACGACCAGCCACACUGGGACUGAGACACGGCCCAGACUCCUACGGGAGGCAGCAGUGGGGAAUUUUGGACAAUGGGCGAAAGCCUGAUCCAGCAAUGCCGCGUGUGUGAAGAAGGCCUUCGGGUUGUAAAGCACUUUUGUCCGGAAAGAAAUCCUUGGCCCUAAUACGGUCGGGGGAUGACGGUACCGGAAGAAUAAGCACCGGCUAACUACGUG